This 396-nucleotide ribosomal RNA is filed under the name uncultured bacterium. RNAcentral describes it as "bacterial SSU rRNA". It matches the Rfam family "Bacterial small subunit ribosomal RNA", at positions 28 to 428 of the family's 1533-position model. The record is from RNAcentral.
GACGAACGCUGGCGGCGUGCUUAACACAUGCAAGUCGAGCGGUAAGGCCCUUUCGGGGGUACACGAGCGGCGAACGGGUGAGUAACACGUGGGUGACCUGCCCUCAGCUCUGGGAUAAGCCUGGGAAACCGGGUCUAAUACCGGAUAUGACUCCAUGACGCAUGUUGUGGGGUGGAAAGCCUUGUGCGGCUGAGGAUGGGCCCGCGGCCUAUCAGCUUGUUGGUGGGGUGAUGGCCUACCAAGGCGACGACGGGUAGCCGGCCUGAGAGGGCGACCGGCCACACUGGGACUGAGACACGGCCCAGACUCCUACGGGAGGCAGCAGUGGGGAAUCUAGCGCAAUGGGCGAAAGCCUGACGCAGCGACGCCGCGUGAGGGAUGACGGCCUCGGUGUAA